RNAcentral lists this ribosomal RNA (458 nucleotides) under uncultured Spirochaeta sp. Its description in RNAcentral is "bacterial SSU rRNA". It matches the Rfam family "Bacterial small subunit ribosomal RNA", at positions 924 to 1382 of the family's 1533-position model. Lineage: Bacteria; Pseudomonadati; Spirochaetota; Spirochaetia; Spirochaetales; Spirochaetaceae. The record is from RNAcentral.
CACAAGCGGUGGAGCAUGUGGUUUAAUUCGAUGCAACGCGAGGAACCUUUACCAGGGCUUGACAUAGACACGACGGUUGUAGAGAUACAGCUUCUCUUCGGAGCGUGUUUACAGGUGCUGCAUGGCUGUCGUCAGCUCGUGCUGUGAAGUGUUGGGUUAAGUCCCGCAACGAGCGCAACCCUUGCUGUCUGUUGCCAACAGGUUAAGCUGGGGACUCGGACGGUACUGCCGGUGACAAACCGGAGGAAGGUGGGACGACGUCAAGUCAUCAUGGCCCUUAUGUCCUGGGCUACACACGUACUACAAUGGCUGGUACAGAGCGAUGCGAAACCGCGAGGUAGAGCGAAUCGCAGAAAACCGGUCUCAGUUCGGAUUGAAGUCUGAAACCCGACUUCAUGAAGUUGGAAUCGCUAGUAAUCGCGCAUCAGCAUGGCGCGGUGAAUAUGUUCCCGGGCCUU